UGCGUAGGUGGUUGGUUAAGUUUGAGGUGAAAGCUCCGAGCUCAACUCGGAAAAUGCCUUGAAGACUAUCUGACUAGAGGAUUAGAGGGGAGAUUGGAAUUCUCGGUGUAGCAGUGAAAUGCGUAGAUAUCGAGAGGAACACCAGUGGCGAAGGCGAAUCUCUGGACAAUUCCUGACACUGAGGCACGAAAGCCAAGGGAGCAAACG
Molecule: ribosomal RNA, 207 nt
Filed under: uncultured bacterium
Lineage: Bacteria
Description: partial 16S ribosomal RNA
Rfam family: Bacterial small subunit ribosomal RNA
Source: RNAcentral